CAUGGGAUGCUAGUUUCGUACUGAGAGACUGAACGGACACUGAUGAUGCCAUACUGCCUGACA
RNAcentral lists this small nucleolar RNA (63 nucleotides) under Euglena gracilis. RNAcentral's name for it is "Eg-m37 box C/D methylation-guide snoRNA". The record is from RNAcentral. Lineage: Eukaryota; Euglenozoa; Euglenophyceae; Euglenales; Euglenaceae.